UGACCUCAGCUCAGUCGUGACUACCCGCUGAAUUUAAGCAUAUAACUA
RNAcentral lists this ribosomal RNA (48 nucleotides) under Hysterothylacium aduncum. RNAcentral's name for it is "partial 28S ribosomal RNA". Lineage: Eukaryota; Metazoa; Nematoda; Chromadorea; Rhabditida; Raphidascarididae. The record is from RNAcentral.